This 266-nucleotide long non-coding RNA is filed under the name Rattus norvegicus (Norway rat). Its description in RNAcentral is "long non-coding RNA NONRATT025932". Lineage: Eukaryota; Metazoa; Chordata; Mammalia; Rodentia; Muridae. The record is from RNAcentral.
UGGGAGCACCCGCUCUGCCUCCGUCCUUUCAGUGCUUGUGUAACGUUGAAUCAAGGGAUUCUUUGAAUAGCAUAGCCCUGAAAUUUGAUACCACACCCAAUGAACUUGUUCAGUUAAAUAAGUUAUUCUCCAGAGCAGUCGUGACUGGACAGGUUUUAUACGUUCCUGAUCCUGAGUAUGUCUCUAGUGUUGAAAGUUCCCCAUCCCUAAGCCCUGUAAGUCCUCUGUCACCAACAUCAUCAGAAGCUGAAUUUGAUAAAACCACU